This is a small nuclear RNA of Eptesicus fuscus (big brown bat), 182 nucleotides long. RefSeq annotates it as U2 spliceosomal RNA. The transcript has a single exon. Lineage: Eukaryota; Metazoa; Chordata; Mammalia; Chiroptera; Vespertilionidae. The record is from RefSeq and is a predicted model, not a curated record.
AUUGCUUCUUGGCCUUUUGGUUAAGAUCGAGUACAAUAUCUGUUCCUGCCAGUUUAACAUCUGAUAAGGUGUCUCUCUGAGGACAAUAUAUUAACGGCAUUGGGAGCAGGGAGGUGGAAUAGAGCUCGCUCCAUCCACCCUGCACAUCAACCCGGCAUUGCUCUGGGAAUGGCCACACACGA